Non-coding RNA from Camellia sinensis, 703 nucleotides. The record is from RefSeq and is a predicted model, not a curated record. Lineage: Eukaryota; Viridiplantae; Streptophyta; Magnoliopsida; Ericales; Theaceae.
AUUAAUUGUGUUGAAUUAGAUUAUUGUAAUUAUUUUUAGGGCGUUACAUAUUGCAACCAAACCGGGUGCAAUCAUCUGUCCCUCCUAGAAUUUUCUUGUGUUCGAUGGAUUAAAUUUUGCAAUCAAACGAUUCUCUCUCAACCGAAGACAAAUGCAUAUAUGUACACACUCGUUGUUCUGUUUCACUUCCCAUCUUGGUUUAGCUUCGUUGUUUCUAGGUACACAAAUUACAGCCCAAACUCCACAACCUGCGGACGAGAACUUUGAGAUAUAGGAGAUAAUGAGGUCAACAGUAUAGGCAAAUAUACGUUGGCCAAUUCCAUUUGAUGAGAACUCUCUUCUACUAUCUUCCUUAGUUGCCUGGGAAAAUAUGAGGACACAAUAAAGGAUUGCACGAAAGCAUUGGAACUAAAUCCUAAUUAUCUGAAAGAUCUGCUUAGAAGAUGAGAGGCUCGUGAGAAGCUUGAACACUUUGAAGAGGCUAUUGUUGAUCUGAAUAAAGGCUUGGAAUUGGAUCACACGUUGGUGGUAGAGAGAUGAUAUAAAGCAAUCCUUACAAUUGGUUAGUCUAGAGUUCUAUUUUAAGACAACAAGGGUCCAAUUUGUAUGUUGGUUCACAAUUUCGUGCAAGAUGUGUUCAUGAUUGACACGAUAGAAAAGAAGAAAUAUUGUGUAUUUUGUGUUGAGAUUUUCUUGGAAAAAA